This 1530-nucleotide long non-coding RNA is filed under the name Homo sapiens (human). RNAcentral describes it as "non-protein coding LINC01089:10". Lineage: Eukaryota; Metazoa; Chordata; Mammalia; Primates; Hominidae. The record is from RNAcentral.
UGAUCUCAAAACAUCCUUCAUCAGACACGAAGGAGAGGCCAACAGAUGAGGGAAGCCAUUUUUCUGCAAUGGAAUUAAAUGGCCAAGUGGGUUUUUCCUUUGUUGCAAAUGGGGAAUGUUUUUCCUUUGACUCUACCAUCCAGUUCAGGACGUCUCAGUGUGUUUAACAUUUGUCAACAGGCCCAAGGACUCACAGUUGGAAGACUGGAGAAGACUUUUUAAAAAGAUCUGGAUUUUUCCUUAUGACUUGGAAUCCAUCUUUGUCUUGUAUAACUAGGUCAUAGCACACCAUUCAUGUCAGCAGUUAACAGUUUUGAAUUCCAAAAAAACCUAAAGCAGUAAACAGUCCUCAGCGAAGCCGCCUUUUUGCCUACCCAACCCUGGAAAGUUUGCAGAAGUGGAAGGAGCAGAACGUGAGGGUGUAACUUACAAAAAGGUUCUGGGCCGGAGAAGGGGCGACGUUCGGGCACCCCCCGAAUGGACAAUCUUUCCUUCUGUCAACGGCAGGGGCAGGCCUAGUUUGACUCUGACAGUCCUCCCACUAAGGAAUUCCUGGUGACUGGAAGGGGGAGUGACUCAGGCCCUCAACCUCUAGCAGGUAAGGGAGCUACCUCCUGGGUGGGCAUGCCCAGUUCCUCAGUGGGCCCAGCGCGGCCCAGCCUCCGAGGAAGCUCUGAGCAGCUGGCUUGGCUCCGAGGUAUUUUUAGCUACAGAUCCAGCCCCCCUCCAUCACCACAACAGUCGAGUCCAAAUCAAACGCGCUCCAGGCAGGUGGGGCUGGGGUUCUGCCAGCCUCCUGGCCAGCAGGGGUGGGUGGGCAGACUGGGGCCAGUAUCAGCUGUUCUGCCUGGACCCAGGCCGGGCUGGGAAGGCACACUUGUGCUUAUUUCCCGCCUCCACUUCUGUGCAAGCUUGUGCUGUCAUAAGCAGAGAUCACAGCCCCAUUUCUUGGAUGGAGAAAGUGGACACUGAGGUCUGAGGCUUUUGAGGACAGUCAGGAGCCCUCCUAUGGGCUCCAGUGAUGCACUCACCAGCUUCUGGUCCUCUUCUUCCACCUCUUAGAGUGCCUUGGCUCCCUCCUGUCGUCCUGGGGAACCUCGGCCCCAGCCCUGCCUCCCCAGCCAGUCACAGCUCCUCCCUGGUCACCCUGAGGGAGCUCAGGGCCCGGCUGGUAGCUGGGUUGCUCUGCUUCUGUCCCCCACUCCUGUGGAGCCUGGCAGGCAACUCCAUGAUCUGACCCCGGUUACCUUGACAGCCCUGCCUGGCCUCCCCUCUCAUGGCCCAGCCACCCCAGAACCUGAAGAGGUUUUCUAGCUGCCGUGCAUUUGCCAGGCUGGGUUACCCACCCUACUUUCCCUGCCUGCCCUCCAGUGCUGCCAGGCCUAGUGUGCCAGCCAGCGCUCAGCCUUCAGUAAAGGGUUCCCCUGCUUCCAACCUCCAUUGCACUGCUUCCCCUAAGACUGUGACCUCCUGGAAGGCUGGAGCACAACUGCCUCUCAAUAAACGUGUUGCAAAAAAGGAAUGGAUGAG